Molecule: ribosomal RNA, 241 nt
Filed under: uncultured bacterium
Lineage: Bacteria
Description: partial 16S ribosomal RNA
Rfam family: Bacterial small subunit ribosomal RNA
Source: RNAcentral
GAUCAUGGCUCAGGAUGAACGCUGGCGGCGUGCUUAACACAUGCAAGUCGAGCGAAGCACUUAAGUUUGAUUCUUCGGAUGAAGACUUUUGUGACUGAGCGGGCGGACGGGUGAGGUAACGCGUGGGUAACCUGCCUCAUACAGGGGGAUAACAGUUAGAAAUGGCUGCUAAUACCGCAUAAGACCACGGUACUGCAUGGUACAGUGGUAAAAACUCCGGUGGUAUGAGAUGGACCCGCGU